RNAcentral lists this transfer RNA (68 nucleotides) under Marmota monax (woodchuck). RNAcentral's name for it is "tRNA.Ala". Lineage: Eukaryota; Metazoa; Chordata; Mammalia; Rodentia; Sciuridae. The record is from RNAcentral.
GCUGGGGCUCAGUGGUAGAGUGCUUGCCUAGCACGUGCGAGGCACUGAGUUCAAUUCUCAGCACUGCA